Molecule: long non-coding RNA, 175 nt
Organism: Mauremys mutica (yellowpond turtle)
Lineage: Eukaryota; Metazoa; Chordata; Testudines; Geoemydidae
Exons: 3
Source: RefSeq, a predicted model, not a curated record
CAAUCAUGGGAAUCGGAGAAGUAACCAAGGGAAGAAGUGUGGCAAGAGGUCUCAUUGACUUCAGUGGGAGUUCCAGGUUUCCAUCCAAGGAAUCCCUCCUCUACUUCCUAUGGAGCUGAACUCACUAUGAGUACUGCAGAGGUGAAAAGAACAAGUCCUACUUCAAAAAACCAAC